UUAUGGCAUAUGCGAUGAAUGUAUAUGGGAAGAAACUGCAUGA
This 43-nucleotide small RNA is filed under the name Bacillus cytotoxicus NVH 391-98. RNAcentral's name for it is "ABC transporter adenosine aptamer". Lineage: Bacteria; Bacillati; Bacillota; Bacilli; Caryophanales; Bacillaceae. The record is from RNAcentral.